GGCUUUCUUGGCGUCGCUCAUAGCGGUUUCGCCAGACGUUUCUUGAUCCGCAUCAUGGUGAGCGCCGCGCGUGCUGCGUCGCCGCCCUUGUUCAGCUUGUCGGCGCGGGCGCGUUCCCACGCCUGCUCCGAAGUGUUGACGGUAAUGAUGCCGUUGCCGAGCGGCAGGCUGCGUGCAACAGCGAGGUCCAUCAGAGCGCGCGACGAUUCCAUCGACACGAUCUCG
This 225-nucleotide unclassified non-coding RNA is filed under the name Hevea brasiliensis (rubber tree). The record is from RNAcentral. Lineage: Eukaryota; Viridiplantae; Streptophyta; Magnoliopsida; Malpighiales; Euphorbiaceae.